CCUCCAAAGGGAAGAACUUUCU
This 22-nucleotide microRNA is filed under the name Pongo abelii (Sumatran orangutan). Its description in RNAcentral is "Pab-Mir-430-P31b_5p* (star (passenger))". The record is from RNAcentral. RNAcentral also lists the same sequence under 1 other name. Lineage: Eukaryota; Metazoa; Chordata; Mammalia; Primates; Hominidae.